AGCUUGCUUCUCUUGAGAGCGGCGGACGGGUGAGUAAUGCCUAGGAAUCUGCCUGGUAGUGGGGGAUAACGUUCGGAAACGGACGCUAAUACCGCAUACGUCCUACGGGAGAAAGCAGGGGACCUUCGGGCCUUGCGCUAUCAGAUGAGCCUAGGUCGGAUUAGCUAGUUGGUGGGGUAAUGGCUCACCAAGGCGACGAUCCGUAACUGGUCUGAGAGGGUGAUCAGUCACACUGGAACUGAGACACGGUCCAGACUCCUACGGGAGGCAGCAGUGGGGAAUAUUGGACAAUGGGCGAAAGCCUGAUCCAGCCAUGCCGCGUGUGUGAAGAAGGUCUUCGGAUUGUAAAGCACUUUAAGUUGGGAGGAAGGGUUGUAGAUUAAUACUCUGCAAUUUUGACGUUACCGACAGAAUAAGCACCGGCUAACUCUGUGCCAGCAGCCGCGGUAAUACAGAGGGUGCAAGCGUUAAUCGGAAUUACUGGGCGUAAAGCGCGCGUAGGUGGUUUGUUAAGUUGGAUGUGAAAUCCCCGGGCUCAACCUGGGAACUGCAUUCAAAACUGACUGACUAGAGUAUGGUAGAGGGUGGUGGAAUUUCCUGUGUAGCGGUGAAAUGCGUAGAUAUAGGAAGGAACACCAGUGGCGAAGGCGACCACCUGGACUAAUACUGACACUGAGGUGCGAAAGCGUGGGGAGCAAACAGGA
This 704-nucleotide ribosomal RNA is filed under the name uncultured bacterium. RNAcentral's name for it is "bacterial SSU rRNA". It matches the Rfam family "Bacterial small subunit ribosomal RNA", at positions 77 to 777 of the family's 1533-position model. The record is from RNAcentral.